UACGGAGGGUGCAAGCAUUAAUCGGAAUUACUGGGCGUAAAGCGCACGUAGGUGGUUUGCUAAGUCAGCUGUGAAAUCCCCGGGCUCAACCUGGGCACUGCAGUUGAAACUGGCAAGCUAGAGUAGGGUAGAGGGGUGUGGAAUUCCAGGUGUAGCGGUGAAAUGCGUAGAUAUCUGGAGGAACACCAAUAGCGAAGGCAGCUCGCUGGGACGUUACUGACACUGAGGCGCGAAAGCGUGGGGAGCGAACAGG
RNAcentral lists this ribosomal RNA (253 nucleotides) under uncultured bacterium. RNAcentral's name for it is "partial 16S ribosomal RNA". It matches the Rfam family "Bacterial small subunit ribosomal RNA", at positions 524 to 776 of the family's 1533-position model. The record is from RNAcentral.